Molecule: ribosomal RNA, 244 nt
Filed under: uncultured Chloroflexota bacterium
Lineage: Bacteria; Bacillati; Chloroflexota
Description: uncultured Chloroflexi bacterium partial 16S ribosomal RNA
Rfam family: Bacterial small subunit ribosomal RNA
Source: RNAcentral
CUCUAGCGAUACUGCCCGUAUAACGUGGAGGAAGUGGGGAGUGACGUCAAGUCAGCAUGGCCCUUACCAUCCUGGGCGUACACACACGCUACAAUGGGUGAUACAACAGGUAGCAAAAGAGCGAUCUGGAGCCAAUCCAAAAAAUCAUCCUCAGUUCGGAUUGCAGGCUGCAACUGCUUGCAUGAAGUUGGAGUUGCUAGUAAACGCAGGUCAGCACACUGCGUUGAAUACGUUCUCGGGCCUU